Molecule: unclassified non-coding RNA, 229 nt
Filed under: plant metagenome
Description: partial contains small subunit ribosomal RNA, internal transcribed spacer 1, and 5.8S ribosomal RNA
Source: RNAcentral
UCUCCGUAGGUGAACCUGCGGAGGGAUCAUUACAGAGUUCAUGCCCUACCGGGUAGAUCUCCCACCCUAUGUUAUUAUUACUUUGUUGCUUUGGCGGGCCGUUAGGCUCCGGCCCGACUACCGGCCCCGGCUGGUAAGCGCCCGCCAGAGGACCCAAAACCCUGAGUGUUAGUGUCGUCUGAGUACUAUAUAAUAGUUAAAACUUUCAACAACGAAUCUCUUGGUUCUG